AUGAGAGGCGGUGAUUGGUCAACCCCUGGACUGACGUCACUUCCCCGCGGGGCGAUUAGCCUGAGAGAGGAGGGCUGGCAGUCCAGAGCGCUGGGGGCGGCCGGGGCGCCCGGGGCUGCCGACGAGCGCCGCGCGGGUGCCCUCGGUGCGCCCCGGGGCGCUGUCGGAGCGGGCAGCCGGCGUCGGUGCCCGGACGGACAGCGCGGGGAGCCGGGCGGGAACGCUCUCGCCCGGGGGGCAGCGGCACGUGGNNNNNNNNNNNNNNNNNNNNNNNNNNNNNNNNNNNNNNNNNNNNNNNNNNNNNNNNNNNNNNNNNNNNNNNNNNNNNNNNNNNNNNNNNNNNNNNNNNNNAACCCGAAGAAGCCCAGUGCCUGCCCAGCGGACUCCAGCCCGGCGGAGCGGCCGCGCCCGGACCAGAUUGUCCUGCGAAGUGUGAUGGGACAGCCUCUUUUCAGCUUCUCUGAAAAUGGAGACAGAGGAGCUGUGGGUCUUGCUUGCCAAGAUCAUAGGAUUGGAAUCCAGAGCCAUGCUCCUCACUCCAGGACACGCACCAUCAUCAGAGGCGGAAGAGCCAAGCAGAAAGGGAAGAUGCAGUUGCUGCUGUCUUGAAGCUGCAUCAGUCAGGGGCCAGGAUGGAGGAGGACUGGGGCAGAGAGCACAGCGCAGGUUCUGCUCCCACUCCUGCUCUUCUGGGACUUGGCUGGGAACCUGGGGAAACGUGCCCUACCCCCUACCCAGCCUGUAGAGGUCUUGGCCUUUGAUCUGUGGGCCACCCUUUCUGCCCUCGUCACACUGUAUGCCUGUCCCAGUGCAGGGUGUUGGAGCAAACAGAAGCUCCACCCCACAUCUCCGCCCCGAGGACCAAAGGCGGCAUGCCGGGUGGUUGCCCACGCAAGGGGCUCCAGCCUUCUAGGAGUUAAUGAUGCCCUCUCCGCAGCUGUCCUCCCCUUGGUGCUCCUCUUCCUCCCUCCUCCUGCUCACAGCAGGCAGGGCCUGGACCUGGGAGCCAUGCCGCUGUGCUGUUGCCAGGGGAGCCGGGAGCCAGAUCCGAGCUAUGCAGGGAAAAGGCCCGGCCUGUCAAAGUGUCUGAGAUGAACCGCCGCCGUCCCCGUGCAGCUGGGCUCAGACGUGUCUCUGCUCUUGUUCUGUGCCUGAGAAUGGCGAAGCCCAGUGAGGUUCAAGGGCAAACUCACUAUUCAUUAGUCAGGGGUUCUUGACGUCCGUGUCUCCCAGGGAUGGGUCCUCCCUCCCUUUUCCUCUCCCUCCUGUGACACAUUCCUGGGUGCCUUUGGUGAGGGCUGCACACCCUCCUCCUCCUGCCCAACUCUUCUCCAAAGGCCCCUGAAUAAACUCCCCCAAGGAGACCAGGCAGGGCAGAGACAAUGGCCGCAGGAAACCAUUCAGGCGGGACUCCAGCCGUGCUGGCCCGCCCUCCCCCCCCAGCACCCCUGUGGGCCCACUCCCCUCUGACUCAGGGUACCCCUGGACUACUAGACCACACAGGCCUGGACAAGACAGAGGCACUGGGCACUGCCCUCAGGGCAACAGGCCAGUCCAGUGCCAUGCUCAGUGGGCUCGUUGGAUGCUUCCAUGACCUGUAUCUUACAUUGCUGUCUCUCUCAAUGCCUCUGUCUACCAUCACGUAUCUCUUCUAAGACACUCAAACACCAUUGGUGGGAAAGUAUGAAAUGCGGCAAUAUCAGAAUGUAAAGGACACAUGUACUUAGUUACAAGCAAAUUGCACUGCUAGAAAUUAACGGUUAACAGGUAGACGUUCCCAAAGAAGAAUGUACAAGAAUGUUCAUCUGAGCGGUUAUUUUUUAAGAAUGUAAAGAAAUGGAAAUGAACCUGUGGUCCAUUCAUACUGCGUGAAAUACUAUGCAGCUGCAAAAAUGAAUGUGGUAGGUCUCUAAAUAUUAGCUGAUAUGGAAGGCUGGCCAGUAUAUAUUGUUGGGUGAAUAGAAUAAAUCGCAGAACAGGCAAUAGAACAUGAUCUUAUUUGUGUGUAUUUAAAAGUGAAAAAUAGGCUUAUAUGUGGAGAGAUUCUGGGUGUGUGUAUUAGAAGACUACCUCUGGGGGGUGAGAAGGAAUGAAUGCAGUCUUCCAUUUUCUUUCCAUGCUUGUGGAAUACUUUCACUGAGAAAUGUAAAGAGAUUAUUGAGUAUAUCAGGCUUAACCUCUGUUAACCAAGUUGGAGUAGGAGCUCCAAGAGAAUUUUGCCAUUGGCCUUCCUUGUUUGCUUCACCCCAGAGAAAGCAAGUGGCCCAGCAAGUGUCUCUGAGGAAUGACACAAGGUCUCAGGAGUGGGAGGUGUGGGUCUGACUCCAUGCAUGACAGGCCAGGACCUGGCCACAGUGACUGGAGGAACUCUCCAUUGGGCCCUGAUGGGCCUGAGUGGGCCCUAGGUGGGAUGGGGUCUGGGGGUGGGAAAGGUGCCAUAGAUUGGACCAAGUAGCCACCCAGAGGACCCUGGGAAAUCUGCAGGAUUGCAGAGUAGUCCCUGGGACUUGGGCAACACCUACAGUCAGCCCAAAUCAGCUGUGGAGCUUGAAGAGUGAGCAGGAAAGAAGAAUUUAAAAUGGACCAUGGGCAGAGGGUUGCAGUAACUCCUCAUAACUUUAUAGACUGUCGGUAUUAUUGUUACCCACCCAUUCUAUAGAUGAGGACAAUGAGGCCCAGAAAAAUUAAGUUUUAGGUCCCAAGUCACACAGCUAGUUAGUGCCAAAACUAAGAUUCAAACUCAAGUCUCUUGGACUGUGAAGUCUUAACUCCAGACCGCAAAGAAAUCCUGUUUGGUGUGGCCACUAGGAAGUCCCCCAAGCAGGAACCCCUCCUUUCCACCUCCCAUUCAUAGAGAGAUUAACCCCUCCUCUGCAAGGUUACCUCCUCAAGUAGUUGCUUACCUGGGGUCCUCCCCCAGUUUUACCUAAUGCCAUGUAGCUCCUGCAAUAUGUCUGGCCCUGGACUGGGCAGUGGAGGGGUGGGGAGGAGGAUUAUAGAGACUUUGGUUAGUAUAGCCUCCCCUCCAGAGCUGUCCAGGGCCAGAAGGGUUGUCCAGAUGGACUUCCUGUGGGUGGUGGCCUGGAGGCAAAGACACAGCCCAGCUGGUUAAGACAAGCCUGAAUGAGCGUGGGAAAGUGGGGGCAAGGUACUGGGGAAGGCUCAGGGCUUCCACCUGGUGGGAAAUGGGAAGUGGGAGUAGGUGGGGUCAGAGGGUCUAACUGCUGCAGCCCCCCAGUCCCCUGGCUGCAGGUCACCUACACUUCUGCAGACUCUGCUUCUCCCCUGACCUGAUAGAAGCCUGAUGGGCACUGCUGGGCCUGCCCCAGUGCUUCCCAGAGUCUGGCCUGAUGAAGUCCUCAAGGAAAGCUGAAGCUGCAGAAGCAGCAGUCGGUGAGCAGAGAUCUCACUCAGGGAUCUAGAAUCACUGGGGCUCUUGCAAGUCCAGGUGGUCCCCCUGGAUGGUCCCGAGGGAGGACUCGGCAAGUUCUGCAAGAGAAGCCUCUUCUCAUCCUAUAAACCUCACCUCUCUCUACCCCAUGGGCUUCCCUGGUGGCUCAGAUGGUAAAGUGUCUGCAGUGCGGGAGACUCGGGUUUGAUCCCUAGGUCCGGAAGAUCCCCUGGAGAAGGAAAUGGCAACCCACUCCAGUAUUCUUGCCUGGAAAACCCCAUGGACAGAGGGGAGACUCGGGUUUGAUCCCUAGGUUGGGAAGAUCCCCUAGAGAAGGGAAUGGCUUCCCACUCCAGUAUUCUUGCCUGGGGAGCUCCAUGGACAGAGGAGCCUGGCGGGCUACAGUCCAUGGGAUUGCACAGUCGGAUACAACUGAAUGACUAACACACGCACACGCACUCUUCCCAACUCACAACAAAUAAAGUUUCUUUGCAAAGCCUUCCAUGUGUCUGGUCAGUUCUGUGGGAAGAAUGUGGGUGAGGAAAGUCAGAUUUAGCCACUAGCAAAGAAUUCCUGCUGUGUCAGGUGUGGUGGGUCCCUGAUCUGGAUCCAAGAAACCCCCCCAAGGUCUGGGAAAGUGUCUCCCUGAUCUGGGCUAGGGUCAUCUGGCUAAGAGAAUGGAGGCCAUUGGCUACCGGGUCCAAGGCUUACCUCUAGCCUUGAGGGUGGCAAUCUUAGGUGUGCUACCCUCUGAAGUGGGGUUCUGUGGGUUCUGUAUGUUCUGGAUUUUGAGGCAGCUCCCAAACCUCCAUCAGUGUCUUGUCAUUUCAUCCUCAUAGUGACAAACACCCCCACCGCCAUAAGACUUAAUCCCGUUUUACAGAGUAGCUAACAGAGGCUUCAGAGAUGCUAAGAAACGUGCAUACUCACACAGCUGGGAAGCAGUGGUGCUGGGCUCCAGAUCUCAUUUCUGUGACCAGAAUGGGAUGCAAGGCUUCAUAAAUCUGAAAGACCCUGACAAGGUUCUCUAUGAAUGUGCAAUCUGACAGCAUCCCUUUUCACAAGGCCCUGGAACCCCAGACAAUUAUCAAAACUUUCUUGCGCCAGGCACUAAGUGCUUGCUCAUGUCCUAAGUCAUGGUUUAAUCCUCAGACAUCCCUAUACAAAACGGGCACUGUAUUAAUUCCUGUUUAACCAACGGUGAGAGUGAGGCUGAGGUAGCUGGCGGGUGCAGGGAUGGGUGCAGCCAGGGUGUCGGCACAGGCACACCAGCCCAGAUGCCAGGCAUUCAAACCCCUGCCCACGCGGCCUCCCUAAGUGCCUGACGUCCUACCAGCCUCGCCCUGCAGGGCAACCCCAGUGAAACGCUCAUCUCCGCUCCACCGCGCUCAGGGGGCCGCGCUCAGGGCCGGCGGCGGUACGUCGGGGGUGGUCACGCCUGACUGUACCUGGCGCGUCG
Molecule: long non-coding RNA, 4850 nt
Filed under: Ovis aries (sheep)
Lineage: Eukaryota; Metazoa; Chordata; Mammalia; Artiodactyla; Bovidae
Description: lncRNA (ENSOARG00000026436.1)
Source: RNAcentral